AACGAACGCUGGCGGCAGGCCUAAAACAUGCAAGUCGAACGAACCUUCGGGCUAGUGGCGCACGGGUGAGUAACGCGUGGGAAUGUGCCUCUGGGUGCGGAACAACGUCGGGAAACUGACGCUAAUACCGCAUAAUGUCUACGGACCAAAGAUUUAUCGCCCAGAGAUCAGCCCGCGUCUGAUUAGCUAGUUGGUGAGGUAACGGCUCACCAAGGCUACGAUCAGUAGCUGGUCUGAGAGGAUGAUCAGCCACACUGGAACUGAGACACGGUCCAGACUCCUACGGGAGGCAGCAGUUAGGAAUAUUGGACAAUGGGGGAAACCCUGAUCCAGCCAUGCCGCGUGUGUGAAGAAGGCCUUAGGGUUGUAAAGCACUUUCGGCUGUGAAGAUAAUGACAGUAGCAGAAGAAGAAGCUCCGGCUAAAUUCGUG
RNAcentral lists this ribosomal RNA (431 nucleotides) under uncultured bacterium. RNAcentral describes it as "bacterial SSU rRNA". It matches the Rfam family "Bacterial small subunit ribosomal RNA", at positions 29 to 507 of the family's 1533-position model. The record is from RNAcentral.